UGAUCUGUUGAGGGCCAUCUGGCUGUGACAUGUCACCCCAUUUAUCACCAGGGUUGUUUCUGCUGAUCUGGCUAGAUGGUGUCCCUUCCUCCUUCACUACUCGGUGUGUCUUGCCUGAAGCUGCAAAUUGAGGAUGAUCUUCCCCAGUAGAGGAAGCCCAUUCUCUGGUCAAGAGUUUAGAGUAGCUGUACUCCCCUGAUAGAACCUCCAAACAGGCUCUGAAAUGAUCACUUCCUGCUAUCUUCCUCUUUACUGUCGCCCAAGUCUGUAUUUAAUAAACCUAAGUUCUGAAUGUUUGUAUCAUAAAAAUUGCCUGUUCAUUUUAGAAGGAAAU
This is an unclassified non-coding RNA of Marmota marmota marmota (Alpine marmot), 334 nucleotides long. Its record names the gene 7SK. It matches the Rfam family "7SK RNA". Rfam says of the family: 7SK was discovered as an abundant small nuclear RNA in the mid-70s but a possible function has only recently been suggested. Lineage: Eukaryota; Metazoa; Chordata; Mammalia; Rodentia; Sciuridae. The record is from Ensembl.